CGGAUCUCAGAUCAAGCAAGAGGACCCGCCGAAUUUAAGCAUAUAAUUAAGCGGAGGAAAAGAAACUAACUAGGAUUCCCUCAGUAACGGCGAGUGAAGCGGGACUAGCUCAGGAUGUGAAUCUGCGCUUUUAUGGCGCCGAAUUGUGGUCUGUAGACUUUGACGUUAUCUGCCGGGCCAAGUUCCUUGGAAAAGGACAGCUGAGAGGGUGAAACUCCCGUCCGCCUGGUAGAAUGAGUCUUUGUCAACGAGUCGAGUUGUUUGGGAUUGCAGCUCUAAUUUGGUGGUAAAUUCCAUCUAAAGCUAAAUAUUGGUGGGAGACCGAUAGCGUACAAGUACCGUGAGGGAAAGAUGCAAAGAACUUUGAAAAGAGAGUUAAAGAGUACCUGAAAUUGCUGAAACGGAAGCGAAGGAAACCAGUGUUUGUU
RNAcentral lists this ribosomal RNA (428 nucleotides) under Pseudo-nitzschia fraudulenta. Its description in RNAcentral is "eukaryotic LSU rRNA". It matches the Rfam family "Eukaryotic large subunit ribosomal RNA", at positions 1 to 440 of the family's 3401-position model. Lineage: Eukaryota; Bacillariophyta; Bacillariophyceae; Bacillariales; Bacillariaceae. The record is from RNAcentral.